UACGUAGGGUCCAAGCGUUUAUCCGGAAUCACUGGGCGUAAAGCGUGCGCAGGCGGUUCGUUGUGUCGGUGGUGAAAGCCCCGGGCUUAACCUGGGAAUGGCCGUCGAAACUGGCGAACUGGAGUGUGGCAGAGGGGGGUGGAAUUCCGCGUGUAGCAGUGAAAUGCGUAGAGAUGCGGAGGAACACCGAUGGCGAAGGCAGCCCCCUGGGCUGACACUGACGCUCAGGCACGAAAGCGUGGGGAGCGAACAGG
This 254-nucleotide ribosomal RNA is filed under the name uncultured bacterium. Its description in RNAcentral is "partial 16S ribosomal RNA". It matches the Rfam family "Bacterial small subunit ribosomal RNA", at positions 524 to 776 of the family's 1533-position model. The record is from RNAcentral.